GGGCCCGUAGCCCAGUACGGAUAAAGGCGCCGGCCUCCGGAGCCGGAGAACCGGGGUUCAAAUCCCCGCGGGCCCG
RNAcentral lists this transfer RNA (76 nucleotides) under Candidatus Bathyarchaeota archaeon. RNAcentral describes it as "tRNA-Arg". It matches the Rfam family "tRNA". Rfam says of the family: Transfer RNA (tRNA) molecules are approximately 80 nucleotides in length. The record is from RNAcentral. Lineage: Archaea; Thermoproteati; Candidatus Bathyarchaeota. RNAcentral also lists the same sequence under 2 other names.